This 468-nucleotide ribosomal RNA is filed under the name uncultured bacterium. RNAcentral describes it as "partial 16S ribosomal RNA". It matches the Rfam family "Bacterial small subunit ribosomal RNA", at positions 28 to 506 of the family's 1533-position model. The record is from RNAcentral.
GACGAACGCUGGCGGCGUGCUUAACACAUGCAAGUCGAACGGAAAGGCCCUGCUUUUGUGGGGUGCUCGAGUGGCGAACGGGUGAGUAACACGUGAGUAACCUGCCCUUGACUUUGGGAUAACUUCAGGAAACUGGGGCUAAUACCGGAUAGGAGCUCCUGCUGCAUGGUGGGGGUUGGAAAGUUUCGGCGGUUGGGGAUGGACUCGCGGCUUAUCAGCUUGUUGGUGGGGUAGUGGCUUACCAAGGCUUUGACGGGUAGCCGGCCUGAGAGGGUGACCGGGCACAAUGGGAACGGGAGAAGGGCCAGGACCCCACGGGGGGGAAGGGGGGGGAAUAUUUCCCAAAGGGGGGGAGGCCGGGGGGGACACCGCCGGGGGGGGAAGAGGGGCCUUGGGGUGGAAACCCGUUUUCCCCUGGAGGGAGGGGUGGGGAAGGGAAAGGGGAAAAAAACCACGGGCAAACUAGGG